Long non-coding RNA from Bombus huntii, 3249 nucleotides. RefSeq lists it as uncharacterized. Lineage: Eukaryota; Metazoa; Arthropoda; Insecta; Hymenoptera; Apidae. The record is from RefSeq and is a predicted model, not a curated record. The transcript has 3 exons.
AUUUACUCCAGGUUGCCACAUUUACUCCAGGUUGCCACAUUUACUCCAGGUUGCCACAUUUACUACAGGUUGCCACAUUUACUCCAGGUUGCCACAUUUACUACAGGUUGCCACAUCUACUCCAGGUUGCCACAUCUAUUCCCGUUGGAGGUGGCUACCCACAUGAUAAUCAAACAGCCAAAAAAUUCUACCAAAUGUCCAAAUCGGACAAAUUGUGAAUGUAAACAAUUAAAUAAAAAAAAAAAAACAUCUACUCCUAAUAGUUCUGGGACAUACGGAAAAUGAAAAAGCAACGUAUCCCAUAUUUUUCCAGAAACCCCCUAAAACCAGCGUGGAAACAGCGAUCGUCAAACACGAACCCGUCGUUUCCACGUCCGUCAAGAUUUGCCCGCAAAAUGGAUCUCCUCUCGUCCAACCCCUAUCGUCACAAUGCGUGCAAGCCUUUUUUCCGUAGCUUCCUGUCGAAACGGAUUCCUUUAACCGGGCGAAACCAAGCCCCUGCAACAGGCAUAUGUGUGCGCACGACACAUCACCGUCGAAACUUAUUUUAACGUGAAAACGCUAGAAAGAAUUCCGUGGGAACUGACUAGGAGAGGUAAGCAAGAGUUGGAUUUCCUAAAGAAAAGGAAAAACGCUCCUCCUGUUUCUCUGUGUGUUCAGGCAUUUAUAUCGAAGGGAUCGACGAGAGGGGUAAGAUCGUUAUUAAGGAAGAAACGCAUGAUUUUUUUAUCUUUCGUGGAAGAAUCGGUGGUAGGUAUUAUUUAUAUUGGAGAUCGAUGAAUUCUUUAAUAUUAGACCGUUAAUCAUAUAUUCGGAUGAAAUCUAUUACAGAAAUAAAUUGAAUUGGCAUUAAACUAUGGUAUAAAGAGAGUUCAUCCGAACACACGAUCGUCUUUAAUAAAAAUCUUUUUUUUUUAUUUAUUUAUUUAUUAAUAUUUACAAUCAAUUCUCGCAUUGAGAAUUUUCAGUAAAUAAAAAUCUUUGAUAACAAAUUUUUCAAACAAUUCAUCGAAUAUUUAUCUUUCAUCUUCUGAAAAAAUACCUAUCGUUCGUCUACGAAAAGAAUGCUAUACUAAAUCUCUUCUAGAGUCUUCUACAGUUCCAGCAACGACUUCUGAUAAAUCAUAAUCGUACUGUCAUUCACCCUUCAUUCUUUCACGAAAACCAUGUCACGACCUUUGGACUUAGAGAAGGACGUUAGAGAAAGUUUCGAGAAAUUUGCUUGGAAGGCGAAUUAUUGUCGAAGAACAGGUAAAAUAUUGUCACGAAAAGGAUUUCGACCGUUUUUGCCGAUCAUACUAGGAAAGGGUUGAAACCCUCCGCAGCGAAUAGGCCAAAGGUUCGUCAUAUCAAGGUUAAAUCGACGAGGGUCGCGAGAAUUGACGAUCGAUGGGGCAAAUUUCGUAGAAAAGAAGGCAAUUUUUGCGGUAAAUGGCCCUCUUUCUCGCGCGAUUUGUGCUCUCGAGGAAGGGGCGAGACUAGUUGCCUUUUUAACGCGCAAUCUUGCAGAUUUUACAAAAAAGGGUUACGCGAAAGGCUUUCCCGUAGGGUCGUUUUCUAUUUUUGAAGUAAACUCUUCUUGAAAAAUAAAUUGUACCGAUCUUGGGCAGAAAGAUUUGCCAUGUGGGAAAAUAUUUUUUUAGGAUGGAUUUCAAUUACGGAGGAGAAUCGAACAUUUUUGUGUCGAAGAAAGUCGUCAAAUUUCACGAAUUACGCAGGUAUUUUUGGAAGUUUCAACAAGUAGGAAAAAAACCGUUGUUGCUGCAGAAGAAAUUUAUGAGGUUAGGAUUGUAACGGAUCUAAAAAAACGUAUAGCGAAGCAUUCUUAGGAUCGUCGUUUUUGCCACUAUGAAAAUAUGCAGGAAAAAUAUGAAAAAAGUUAUACGACGUUCUAAUUGUUUCGGGAGUCAUCAGAAAUAUAUUGUUUCGUUGUAAACAGAGGAAUGUUUGAAUACACGGCAUUAAUGUGUUUUGUCAGAAACAAUAUUUGCACUUUCGAAACCAACAAUUUCAUUUCGAAGCAUAAAACAACUACGCUACGUGUACGGAAUCAAGUUGCAUAAAUAAGAUGCAUACAUAACCGGUGCUCAAAUAUUUUUCUUCUUCUUUCCACAAAUCAUACGACAAAAUAUGCUUCGCGAAGGAUCGGAUCGUUGAUGCUACGAAAAUUAUCCAAAAUUCGUGCCUUCUAAAACUGAAUAAAAUUAAGCAAAAAUCUUUUUAUUCGAAAAAUUCGCUACUAGAUGUCGUAUUAAUUCUAUAAUAAAUAAUUUUAGGGCAAAAUUAUUGACGAAACCAGAGAAGAAAAGAGAAAUUCGAGGAAAUGGACAAACGCGCCCGUAUGUGUACCAUACGAGCAAAAUACACGUGUGUCGCAUUAUGAUGUACAACGUGCACACGCACGACCGACACACAAUUCCAUUGUCGAAGGUAUCCCUUGUUUGCUCGAGGAUCUGGCGAGCAGCUGAUUGGGAUUUUCGCUCUCGUCAAGUCUUGUGGAUUACACAUGGCACGUCGCUUUCGUAACGACGCUGAUGCCGUAUUUGCGCGCGGAGGAAAUAAGAAAAAAGUAUUAUUUGAGGGCGGUUCAAGCUCGUUCAAGAAGACAUCACUGACGUGGAAAGGAAAUCUGCGAAAAAAUUGUUGGUGAAAUUCGUUUGGACAUAAAACGAUGUUUUAAUUCAAUACUUAAGUAGGUUAUAUUUUGUAUAAACGAUUAUAAAUAAAGUGACACGUUUAUGACAUAAAAUAAUUAUGUUUCAACUUCAAUAAAAAAUCAACGUUAACUUUACCGAAAACAUUUGCACGUAUACGAUAAUUGUGAAAAAUAGAAACGAAAUCCAAAAGUCGUCAUUUCAAUGGACCUGGUAGCUCCAGUGUUAAUCCCUUAAUCCCUUAAUCCCUUAAUAUUUACGUUUGGCCCGAUCAUCGUGCCACGGGCUAUGUCCGUAGCUGUAGGUGAAGGGGUUAAAUCAAUCAUUUUGCAAUUUAAAGUAAACUACAAGUAAUUACAAAAUAAAACGAUAUAAUUAUCGAACCUACAUACGAUCCUCGAGUAUCUAUUUCGACGAAUCGAACAUGUUGCAGAAAGUGCAAGAAUUUACCAGAGUCUUCGAGGUUUAAUAAUCUCGAGCUCGAUAAUAACGAUCUCGUUCAAAGGUUCCCGUGCGGAACGGCAAAAAUGUAGCCACCCCCUGGAAUCCCCGAGUCGGGACGGCGAUGUGGCAUUAGUAAAAACGCGAUAUUGUC